AUUAAGAUAACAAGAAUAUUUGUGGAUAUUUGAGUAUUCUUUCAGAGUUAUUCAUCAACAUACUGUAUUUUAAAAUAUUUUUCUUAAAAACUUCUAUUUUUGGAAAGGUUGCAUUUUUUUAGAGAAAUAUUGUAGAUUUGGGUUUGUGGCUUAGAAAAUAAAAUAACAAGAAUAUUUUCGGAUAGUUGAUUAUUCUUUCAGAGAUUUUUAACAAUAGGUUGUAUUUUUAAAUAAUUUUCCUUAAAACUGCUAUUUUUAGAAAGUUUUCAUUUUUUAGAGAAAUAUUGUAGAUUUGGUUUUGUGGUUUAGAAAUUAAGAUAACAAGAAUAUUUAUGGAUAGUUGAUUAUUAUUUAAAAAUACAACCUAUUAAUGAAAAUUUCUGAAAAAAAUACCCAACUAUCCACAAAUAUUUACGUUAUCUUAAUUUCUAAACCACAAACCCAAAUCUAUAAUAUUUCUCUAUAAAAAUGCAAACUUUUCAAAAAUAGCAGUUUUUAAGAAAAUUAUUAAAAAAUACAACCAAAUGAUGAAUAAUUCUGAAAGGAUACUCGAACUUCCACAAAUACUCUUGUUAUCUUAAUUUCUAAACCAUAAACUCAAAUCUACAAUAUUUCUCUAAAAAAUGAAAACUUUCUAAAAAUAGUUGUUUUUAAGAAAAUUAUUUAAAAAUACAAAAUAUUGAUGAAAAUUUCUGGAAAAAUACUCAAUUAUCCACAAAUAAUCCUGUUAUCCUAAUUUCUAAACCACAAACCCAAAUCAAAAAAUUUUCUCUAAAAAAUGCAAACUUUCCAAAAAUAGAAGUUUUUAAGAAAAUUAUUUUAAAAUACAAUAUAUUGAUGAAUAACUCUGAAAGAAAACUCAACUAUCCACAAAUAUUCUUGUUAUCUUAUUUUCCAAACCACAAACUCAAAUCUACAAUAUUUCUCUAAAAAAUGGAAAUUUUCCAAAAUAACAGUUUUUAAGAAGAUCAUUUAAAAAUACAACAUAUUGAUGAAUAAUUCUGAAAGAAUACUCAAAUAUCCAUAAAUAUUCUUGUUAUCUUAUUUUCUAAACCACAAACCCAAAUCUACAAUAUUUUUCUAAAAAAUGAAAACUUUCUAAAAAUAGCAGUUUUAAAGAAAACUAUUUAAAAAUACAACCUAUUGUUGAAAAUCUCUGAAAGAAUAAUCAACUAUCCGAAAAUAUUCUUGUUAUCUUAAUUUCUAAACCACAAACCCAAAUCUACAAUAUUUCUCUAAAAAAAUGUAAACUUUCCAAAAAUAGAAGUUUUUAAGAAAAAUAUUUUAAAAUACAGUAUAUUGAUGAAUAACUUUGAAAGAAUACUCAAAUAUCCACAAAUAUUCUUGUUAUCUUAAUUUCAAAAUCACAUAUCGAAAUCUACAAUAUUUUUCUAAAAAACUUUCCAAAAAUAGCAGUGUUUACGAAAAUUAUUUAAAAAUACAACAUAUUGAUGAAAAAUUUUCAAUGGAUACUCAUCUACCCACAAAUGUUCAUGUUAUCUUAAUUUCUAAACCACAAACCCAAAUCUACAAUAUUUCUCUAAAAAAUGAAAACUUUCCAAAAAUAGCAGUUGUUAAGAAAAUUAUUUAAAAAUACAACCUAUUGAUGAAAAUUUCUGAGAAAAAUACCCAACUAUCCACAAAUAUACCAGUUGAUGAAAACCUCUGAAAGAAUAAUCAACUAUCCACAAAUAUACAACAUAUUGAUGAAAAUCUCUGAAAGAAUAAUCAACUAUCCGAAAAUAUUCAUGUUAUCUUAAUUUCUAAACCACAAACUCAAAUCUACAAUAUUUCUCUAAAAAAUGAAAACUUUCCAAAAAUAGCAGUUUUUGAGAAAAUUAUUAAAAAAUACAACCUAUUGAUGAAUAAUUCUGAAAGAAUACUCGAACAUCCACAAAUACUCUUGUUAUCUUAAUUUCUAAACCACAAACUCAAAUCUACAAUAUUUCUCUAAAAAAUGAAAACUUUCUAAAAAUAGUAGUUUUUAAGAAAAUUAUUUAAAAAUACAAAAUAUUGAUGAAAAUUUCUGGAAAAAUACUCAACUAUCCACAAAUAAUCAUGUUAUCCUAAUUUCUAAACCACAAACUCAAAUUUACAAUAUUUCUCUAAAAAAAUGCAAACUUUCCAAAAAUAGAUGUUUUUAAGAAAAUUAUUCAAAAAUACAAUAUAUUGAUGAAUAACUCUGAAAGAAUACUCAAAUAUCCACAAAUAUUCUUGUUAUCUUAUUUUCUAAACCACAAACUCAAAUCUACAAUAUUUCUUUAAAAAAUGGAAACUUUCCAAAAAUAACAGUUUUUAAGAAGAUUAUUUAAAAAUACAACAUAUCGAUGAAGAAUUCUGAAAGAAUACUCAAAUAUCAACAUAUAUUCUUGUUAUCUUAAUUUAUAAACCACAAACCCAAAUCUACAAUAUUUCUUUAAAAAAUGAAAACUUUCUAAAAAUAGCAGUUUUUAAGAAAAUUAUUUAAAAAUAUAACCUAUUGAUGAAAAUCUCUGAAAGAAUAAUCAACUAUCCGAAAAUAUUCGUGUUAUCCUAAUUUCUAAACCACAAACCCAAAUCUACAAUAUUUCUAUAAAAAAAUGAAAACUUUCCAAAAAUAGCAGUUUUUAAGAAACUUAUUUAAAAAUACAACAUAUUGAUGAAUAAUUCUGAAAGAAUACUCAAAUAUUCACAAAUAUUCUUGUUAUCUUAAUUUCUAAACCACAAAUCAAAUAUAUUUCUCUAAAAAAUGAAAACUUUCUAAAAAUAACAGUUUUUAAGAAAAUUAUUUAAAAAUACAACCUAUUGAUGAAAAUAUCUUAAAGAAUAAUCAACUAUCCACAAAUAUUCGUGUUAUCCUAUUUUCUAAAUCUUAAACUCAUUUUUAGGGAAAUAUUGUAUAUUGGGGUUUGUGGUUUAGAAAUUAAGAUAACAGAAAUAUUUGUGGAUAGUUGAGUAUUUUGUUCAGAAAUUUUCCUUAAUUUGUUGUAUUUUUAAAUGAUUUUCUUAAAACCUGCUAUUUUGGGAAAAAUAUUGUAGAUUUGAGUUUAAGAUUUAGAAAAUAGGAUUAGCACGAAUAUUUGUGGAUAGUUGAUUAUUCUUUCAGAGAUUUUCAUCAAUAGGUUGUAUUUUUAAAUAAUUUUCUUAAAAAACUGUUAUUUUUAGAAAGUUUUCAUUUUUAGAGAAAUAUAUUAGAUUUGUGGUUUAAAAAUUGAGAUAACAAGAAUAUUUGUGAAUAUUUGAGUAUUCUUUCAUAAAUUUUCAUCAAUAGUUUAUAUUUUUAAAUAGUUUUCUUAAAAACUGCUAUUUUUGGAAAGUUUUCAUUUUUUUGUAGAAAUAUUGUUGAUUCGGGUUUGUGGUUUAGAAAUCAGGAUUACACGAACAUUUUCGGAUAGUUGAUUAUUCUUUCAGAGAUUUUCAUCAAUAGGUUAUAUUUUUAAUUAAUUUUUUUAAAAACUGCUAUUUUAGAAAGUUUUCAUUUUUUAGAGAAAUAUUGUAGAUUUGAGUUUGUGGUUUAUAAAAUAAGAUAAAAAGAAUAUUUGUGGGUAUUUGAGUAUUCUUUCAGAAUUCUUCAUCAAUAUGUUGUAUUUUUAAAUAAUUUUCUUAAAAACUGUUAUGUUUGGAAAAUUUUCAUUUUUUAGAGAAAUAUUGUUGAUUUGAGUUUGUGGUUUAGAAAAUAAGAUAACAAGAAUAUUUGUGGAUAUUUGAGUAUUCUUUCAUAGUUAUUCAUCAAUAUAUUGUAUUUUUAAAUAAUUUUCUUAUAAAUUUCUAUUUUUGGAAAGUUUGCAUUUUUUUAGAGAAAUAUUGUAGAUUUGAGUUUGUGGUUUAGAAAUUAGGAUAAGACGAAUAUUUGUGGAUAGUUGAGUAUUUUUUCCAGAAAUGUUCAUCAAUAGUUUGUAUAUUUAAAUAAACUUCUUAAAAACUGCUAUUUUUAGAAAGUUUUUAUUUUUUAGAGAAAUAUUGUAGAUUUGGGUUUGUGGUCUAGAAAUUAAGAUAGCAAGAGUAUUUGUGGAUAUUUUAGUAUCCUUUCAGAAUUAUUCAUCAAUAGAUUGUAUUUUUUAAUAAUUUUCUUAAAAACUGCUAUUUUUUGAAAGUUUGCAUUUUUAUAAAGAAAUAUUAUAGAUUUGGGUUUGUGGUUUAGAAAUUAAGAUAACAGGAAUAUUUGUGGAUAGUUGGAUAUUUGUUUCAGAAAUUUUCAUCAAUAGGUUGUAUUUUUAAAUAAUUUUCUUAAAAACUGCUAUUUUUGGAAAGUUUUCAUUUUUCAGAGAAAUAUUGUAGAUUUGGGUUUGUGGUUUAGAAAUUAAGAUAACAAGAAUAUUUUUGGAUAUUUGAGUAGUCUUUCAGAGAUUUUCAUCAAUUGGUUAUAUUUUCAAAUAAUUUUCUUAAAAACUUCUAUUUUUAGAAAGUUUUCAUUUUUUAGAGAAAUAUAUUAGAUUUGUGGUUUAGAAAUUAAGAUAAUAAGAAUAUUUGAGAAUAUUUAAGUAUUCUUUCAGAUUUAUUCAUCAAUAUGUUGUAUUUUUAAAUAUUUUUCUUAAAACUGCUAUUUUUAGAAAAUUUUCAUUUUUUAGGGAAAUAUUGUAGAUUUGGGUUUGUGGUUUAGAAAUUAAGAUAACGGGACUAUUUGCGGAUAAUUAUGUUUUCAGAAAUUUUCUUCAAUAUUUUAUAUUUUAAAUAAUUUUCUUAAAAGCCGCUAUUUUUGGAAAGUUUUCAUUUUUUGAGAGAAAUAUUGUAGAUUUGAGUUUGUGGUUUAGAAAUUAAGAUAACGGGACUAUUUGCGGAUAAUUAUGUUUUCAGAAAUUUUCUUCAAUAUGUUUUAUUUUAAAUAAUUUUCUUAAAAGCCGCUAUUUUUGGAAAUUUUUUAUUUUUUCAGAAAAAUAUUAUAGAUUUGAGUUUGUGGUUUAAAAAUUCAGAUAACUGGAAUAUUUUUGGAUAUAUUAGUAUUCUUACAUAGUUUUUUAUCAAUAGGUUGAAUUUUUAAAUAUUUUUUUAAAAAACUGCUAUUUUUAGAAAAUUUUCAUUUUUUAGAGAAAUAUUGUAGAUUUGGGUUUGUGGUUUAAAAAUUAAGAAAACAAGAGUAUUUGUGGAUAUUUGAGUAUUUUUUCAUAAUUAUUUAUCAAUGUGUUGUAUUUUAAAUAAUUUUCUUUAAAACUAAUAAUUUUGGAAAGUUUGUAUUUUUAUAGAGAAAUAUUAUAGAUUUGAGUUUGUGGUUUAGAAAUUAAGAUAACAGGAAUAUUUGUGGAUAGUUGAGUAUUUUUUUCAGAUAUUUUCAUCAACAUUUUGUAUUUUAAAUAAUUUCUUUAAAAGCCGCUAUCUUUGGAAAAUUUUCGUUUUUGAAAGAAAUAUUGUAUAUUUGAGUUUAUGAUUUAGAAAUUAGGAUAAAACAAAUAUUAGUGGAUAGUUGAUUGUUCUUUCAGAGAUUUUCAUCAAUAGGUUGUAUUUUAAAAUAAUUUUCUUAAAAAAUGCCAUUUUUAGAAAGUUUUCAUUUUUUAGAGAAAUAUUGUAGAUCUGGGUUUGUGGUUUAGAAAUUAAGAUAACAAGAAUAUUUGUGGAUACUUGAGUAUUCUUUCAGAAUUAUUCAUCACUUUGUUGUAUUUUUAAAUAAUUUUCUUAAAAAUUGCUAUUUUUGCAAAGUUUUCCUUUUUUUAGAGAAAUAUUGUAGAUUUGGGUUUGUGGUUUAGAAAUUAAGAUAACAAGAAUAUUUGUGGAUAUUUGAGUAUUCUUUCAGAACUAUUCUUCAAUAUGAUAUAAUUUUAAGCAAUUUUCUUUAAAACUGCUAUUUCUAAAAAGUUUUCAUUUUUUAGAGAAAUAUUGAAAAUUUGGGUUUAUGGUUUAGAAAUUAAGAUAACAAGAAUAUUUGGGGAUAUUUGAGUAUUCUUUCAUAUCUAUUCAUCAAUAUAUUGUAUUUUAAAAUAAUUUUCUGAAAAGCUGUUAUUUUUAGAAAGUUUUCAUUUUAGAGAAAUAUUGUAGAUUUGAGUUUAUGAUUUAGAAAUUAGGAUAACACGAAUAUUUGUGGAUAGUUGAUUAUUGUUGCAGAGAUUUUCAUCAAUAGGUUGUUUUUUCAAAUAAUUUUCUUAAAAACUGCUAUUUUUAGAAAGUUUUCAUUUUUUAGAGAAAUAUAUUAGAUUUGUGGUUUAGAAAUUCGGACAACACGAAUAUUUUCGGGUAGUUGAUAAUUAUUUCAUAGAUUUUCAUCAAUAGGUUGUAGUUUUUAAUAAUUUUCUUAAAAACUGAUAUUUUUAGAAAGCUUUCAUUUUUUAGAGAAAUAUUGUAGAUUUGAGUUUGUGGAUUAAAAAUUAAGAAAACAAGAGUAUUUGUCGAUAUUUGAGUAUUUUUCAUAAUUAUUUAUCAAUGUGUUGUAUUUUAAAUAAUUUUCCUAAAAACUAAUAAUUUUGGAAAGUUUGUAUUUUUAUAGAGAAAUUAAGAUAACAUGAAUAUUUGAGGAUAGUUGUGUAUUUUUUUCAGAUAUUUUCAUCAACAGUUUGUAUUUUAAAUAAUUUCUUUAAAAGCCGCUAUCUUUGGAAAGUUUUCGUUUUUGAAAGAAAUAUUGUAGAUUUGAGUUUGUGGUUUGGAAAUUAAAAUAACAGGACUAUUUGUGGAUUGUUAUUUUUUUCAGAAAUUUUCUUCAAUAUGUUAUAUUUUAAAUAAUUUUCUUAAAAGCCACUAUUUUUGGAAAAUUUUCAUUUUUCAGAAAAAUAUUAUAGAUUUGAGUUUGUGGUUUAGAAAUUCAGAUAACUGGCGUAUUUGUGGAUAUUUGAGUAUUCUUUCAUAAUUUUCUUAAAAACUAAUAAUUUUGGAAAGUUUGCAUUUUUAUAGAGAAAUAUUAUAGAUCUGAGUUUGUGGUUUAGAAAUUAAGAUAACAGGAAUAUUUGUGGAUAGUUGAGUAUUUUUUUCAGAUAUUUUCAUCAACAGUUUGUAUUUUAAAUAAUUUUUUUAAAAGCCGCUAUCUUUAGAAAGCUUUCAUUUUUGAAAGAAAUAUUGUAUAUUUGAGUUUAUGAUUUAGAAAUUAGGAUAACACGAAUAUUUGUGGAUAGUUGAUUUUUGCUUUCAGAGAUUUUCCUCAAUAGGUGUAUUUUUAAAUAAUUUUCUUAAAAACUCCCGUUUUUAGAAAGGUUUCAUUAUUUAGAGAAAUAUUGUAGAUCUGGAUUUGUAGUUUAGAAAUUAAGAUAACAAGAAGAUUUGUGGAUAGUUGAUUUUUUCUUUCAGAGAUUUUUCUCAAUAUGUUGUAUUUUUAAAUAAUUUUCUUAAAAACUGCCAUUUUUAGAAAAUUUUCAUUUUUUAG
This 7258-nucleotide long non-coding RNA is filed under the name Brassica napus (rape). RNAcentral describes it as "long non-coding RNA (BNAP_LNC012751)". Lineage: Eukaryota; Viridiplantae; Streptophyta; Magnoliopsida; Brassicales; Brassicaceae. The record is from RNAcentral.